Long non-coding RNA from Prosopis cineraria, 4065 nucleotides. RefSeq lists it as uncharacterized. The record is from RefSeq and is a predicted model, not a curated record. The transcript has 4 exons. NCBI's taxonomy places the organism in Eukaryota, Viridiplantae, Streptophyta, Magnoliopsida, Fabales, Fabaceae.
UUGAAUUGAAAUGACGAGCACCGAAUCAAAUUCCAUUACAACAGCUCAUACCAAGGCCCCGGCCAAUAGAAAGCCACCAAACAAGGAGAGUUAUGACGGACAAGAUAAGAAAGCAAAGAAGACAGUCAAAAGAGGGGUCAAAGGGGAGAUCGAGCAGAGCAUCACUUAGCCAACGCCUUCCCUGCUCUCAACCGAAGCAGAAGCCGCCUCUUCAUUGGAUGAACUUGAGCCCAAAGCACAACUUUUUCAAGACGCAGAUCUAACACAAGGAGAAUAGCUUUCUUAAAGCUAAUGUCUCAGCCGCAUCUUCACCAGAUAAGCUUGAACUCACAGGAGGCGGUGCAGAUCUAGCACUCGGAGAUCUUCAAAUCCAACGUUUCGGCUACGAUUGACGAUUGAGGGAUAGCUGCCUCGCCAGAUCCAGAGACGUAGCCGACAGGGUUCCCUUUCAGCCCAAAUACGAGUCUGAGUGAUUUGAGUCUGCAUCAGCAGUGACUGAACCAGAACAGACACGGGAUACCAACACUCGGUAAUGCCUCCUUCAGCAGAACUACUCAUUAUCUUCAUCUUGGCGACAGAGUCGUGAAGGCUUCUUCAAAGAGUCAAGACUGUCGUAUUGUGAUCGACAUCUCUUUCGAUUAGGUGGGCAUAAAUUAAUUGAAAUUGCAGGAGAAGCACUCUCCAAACAAUUCAAAUAAAGCUUCAAAUAUUUGUGAUAACAAGAUGGGUAAAUAAGUGUCAUCUCUUCCAUGUCCACGCACGAUUUCUUCAACAUCCCCAUUAGAAAAGCCAUAGAGUGGUGAUGAAAUCGAAAAUUAUCAUUGCUAUUACAAAAACUGAGACCUAAAGCAUCGAACUUGGAGACUGAAGAGAAGAAAAAAUGGAGCUAAAGCAGUAAAGCAUCAAACUUUCCGAUAUAAAUCGGAGAUAGCUUGAGAACACAGGCAUCAAUGGAGUAAAGAAAUAUAACAUGCAGUAGUUACUACAAAUUUGCUAUCACUUAUUACCAUUUUGACUGGCACAGAAAGCAUACGAAAAAAGAAUGGAAAAGGGUGUCGUUGGGUUUGGGUCACGAACAAAUGAAAGCAUAACAAGACAAGAAAAGAAGAAGACAGGAAACACUAACCGGCGGGACGACGAUCUGACUCGCCCGAUGGCGUCACGGUUGCUGAAUGUCGCAGAGUACUCUUCUUCGCGCGGUCACAGCCCCAGACGGCUGAGGUUUGUCCGCUUUAUAGGUGAUUAGAGUGCCAGGUUGGAUUAGCGGCUUCAUGUGGGCUCUGCCUUUAUGGCCUGUUGUUUAUGGUUUCAGGUUUCUAAAUCCGAUUUUUUCAAAAAUAAUUGAUUUUUAAGCCUCACUUUUAUUUAAAGGCUGUCUAUAAAUUCUUUUUUAUUAUUUUAUACAGUUUUUAGAAUUAAAAUUUUAUAUUUUUAAAUUACAAUUAUGAUAUUCAAAAAUUAAAAAUAAAUAAUAAAAAUUUUACUUUUAAAAUAUAAGUAUAUACUCUGACAGUUUAAAUUUAAUUUAAAAAUUAAAAAUAUUUUAUUUUUUUAAGAUGUAAAAACAAAAAAAGACUUAAAAGGGGCAACUGAGCGUGGGCUCAUUUUUUAGGGUCUAAAAAGUGGAUUUCAAAGCUUGAUUUUUUUAAAAAAUAUUAUUUUUUUAAUACUUAAAUCUUUAUGAAAAUGAAUUUUAAAGAGCAACCCUCCGAACCUUGCUUUACUCAUGGUGGUGUUGAGAGUGAUAGAUCUAUACCAUCCUGAAUUUAAUCUCACAGUUCAUUUUGAAGGUUUUAUUUUUAUUAAAAUAAACUUACAACAUUAUAAUAAAUUUAUUCUAUAGCAAAUCUAGAUAAUAUAAAUUUAAUUGGAUCUUCCUCUAGUGAAAGAUUUUUCUCACUCUUAUCUUUAGAGUGUGUUUAGUUAAAAGAGAGGGAGGGGAGGAAUUUUAAUGGAAAGAGGGGAGGGAUAAAGGGGAGGCAAGGGGAACGAGGGAAGAGAGUGAGAUUUUAAUGAAUUUUUGUUUGAUUUAUGAAAGAAUGGGAGGGAAUCAAUAAUAAGUUAACAAUUUUAUUAUUAUCAAUUUUAAGUUUAUUUUUAUUUUUUAUUUGAUUUAUAUUAAAAAUAGUUAUAUUGUAUUUUAGUAAAUUUAUUGUUUUACGGAUAUGAACUUAUAUUAAUAAUAUUUUUUGCAAAAUAAAUACAGUAAUUUUAUAUUUUGAUAGUGCAUCUAAUGAAAAAAAAUAAAAUUUAAGACAACAAAAUAUAUAUAUUAAUUUUGUAAAGUGAUAAAAUUUAUUUAACUAUAAGAGAGAGGGACUAAAAUAAUGCAUACUUUUUUAAUAUUAAAUAUAGUUUAAAAUUUUUAAAAUAAUAAAUAAAUAAGUAAUUUAGUUAUAAUUUUAUCUUUCGUCUUCCUUCCAAAAAAACUCUAAAUUGGAGAGGAAGGUUAGCAGAGGAUUGGGGGGGGGGGGUUCAUAUAUAUAUAUAUAUAACUAAUCAAGGUGAUCCCAUUCCCUUCCUUUAUAAAGUACGAACCAUAUACAGUGCUAUUGGUGGGAUGUUGCGAGAUUCUAAUGGAGACUGGAUUAUGGGUUUUAACCGUAAAGUGAAACAAUUAUCAUCUACUAUUUCUAAAAGUCUUUGGCAUUUUCAAAGGAUUUGAAAUUUGUUAGCAAAAAGGAUUUUGAGUUUGCCGAGGUUUUCUGUGAUUGUGCUAAUGUUAUAUCUACAAUUACAAUAGAGAACCAUAAUUAUCACCAUUUCUAACAAAUUAUCAACUAUACAAAAAAACUUUUGAUUAAAAAUCGAGAGGUCCAAAUUAAUUUUUUGUACACAGAAAAUAAUAGGAUGACUGAUUUUUUAGCUAAGUCAGCUUUUAGACUUAGUGAUGAUUUCAAUUUGUAUUAUUAACCUCUCAUUACUUAAUUGGGGGUUGUUUUUUACUUUUGGUUUUGUUGUUUGCUAGGCUCUAUUUUUUCCUAAGUUUUUCUUUUGUACACUUUCUUCGUGAAUGAAGGUCUCUAGUAUUUCUCCAAAAAAAAAAAAAGUACCAACCACAUAAGGAAGGUGAAGCAACUUCGCCCACCUCCUCCAAAAACUCCCACCUACACACACUCUGUGAUAAGAAUCUUUCAAUCUUCUUCUUUCUUCUUUGUGCUUGUAUUGAACUCCACUUCUUUUUCCUCUGUCUAUGCGUCAUGCCUAUGGUAAUGGAUCUUCUCUUGUAGCCUCAAAUCCUUUUUUUCACCUGUAUCUAAUUUUCUAUCUUUAUACUUCUGGCUAUUGGCCAUCCUUUUUUAGCUACAAAUUUGAGUGUUUUUCUUCAUUUCACACUAAUUAGCCUUUACUCCUUCCUCCCAUAAUCUCCAUAAUCUUAUUGGCUGCUCUUCUUUUCCCAAAUGAUUUUUCUUUCACUGUAUCUUCUUUUCACCUAUUGGUUGUUGCUUGGGUUAUGAUCUUUUUGUGACUUGUUAGACUUAAUUUCAUCAUCCACUAACUAUUGCUCUGGCCAAUCGCUCCCUCUGAUUCACUAACUAUUACUCUUUGCUAUUUUGGUGUUCCUCUUUGUCAUUUUCUAAUUUUUAAAUGUCUACGUUCUUACCUCUUAUCUGUUUAUCUGUUUAUAGUAAAUGCUUGUACUUAUUUCCUUUCACUCUUGCUUAUGUGGAAGGCAGAGUAGGAUGUUUUUAUCUUAUCAGCUUCCAACUUAUGGAAAACACUCAAAUAGAGAUUUUGUUGUUUGCAAAUUAUAAUGGUCCCCGGUCUCUCUACAACUCGCUUCUGCUGGUUGACAGAUGGUUUCUAAACCUUAUGCUGCAAGAACUCAAGGUGUCAAGCUUCCUUCUUUGGGCACGGUGGGAAACCCUUACCCUUGGCAAUACUGCGCUGGAGUAUGUGGGUUAAUGUGCCCUUGAGCAAUGAUGAUGAUGUCUAGAUUGAAGUCUUUUGUGAAAGGGUUUUUUGUCAAUGUCAUCUCUGUCGAGUUAUUUGCCACAUUUUCCAGACAUGUACUCACUCAGUCUCUGAGGCUUUUGAAGGAUUCAUUAUGGUUCAUGGCCAUUU